This 410-nucleotide ribosomal RNA is filed under the name Protomyzostomum lingua. RNAcentral's name for it is "partial 16S ribosomal RNA". It matches the Rfam family "Bacterial large subunit ribosomal RNA", at positions 1858 to 2578 of the family's 2925-position model. The record is from RNAcentral. Lineage: Eukaryota; Metazoa; Annelida; Myzostomida; Protomyzostomidae.
CCUGCUCAAUGAUACAUUUAAAUAGCUGCAAUUGCACUAAGGUAGCAUAAUAAUUUGCUUUCUAAUUAAAAGAUAGAAUGAAUGGGUAAACGAAAUAGAAACUGUUUCUCUCAUUAAAAUAAAACUUAAUAAAAAGGUGAAAACCCCUUUUUAAAAUAAAAAGACAAGAAGACCCUGCUGAGCUUUAAUCUAAAUCUAAUAUAACGAUUUUUGUUGGGGCAACACGAAUUUAAUAAUCCAAUUCUAUAAAAUGAACAAAUUCUUACAAUAUCCAAUUAAAUUGAAUAUUUACAAGUUACCACAGGGAUAACAGGUUUAUUUUUCUAUAGAGCUCUAAUCGACAGAAAAGUUUGACACCUCGAUGUUGGCUUAUAAUUUCAUUUUGGGGCAACCCCCAAAAUUGUAGGUUU